Molecule: long non-coding RNA, 1212 nt
Organism: Brassica napus (rape)
Lineage: Eukaryota; Viridiplantae; Streptophyta; Magnoliopsida; Brassicales; Brassicaceae
Exons: 2
Source: RefSeq, a predicted model, not a curated record
AAGAGAUUAUCUUCUUCUAGGAUGAGCCACGUCACUAAUUCGCUUAAUAUGGUGCUGACAGGUGUCCAACGCGGCCAAAACACGUCGUUUCAUUAAAAUUUCAGGUUGAAGGGUUCUAGAAUCAGGUGUUUUCGCAGCCCGAGUAGAUGUAAUCACGCGUAACCCUAAUUCUAAAGAAUCGAAGAGAUGGAAAUUGUCUCUCCCCUUGGUUCAACGGCAGUGACGUCUGAGUUUCUCCACACUAUCUGAAACGGUCCGAAUUAUGACGGUGUUUCUUAUUCUAUAAAAGGGUAAGGUUUCUUCCUUGUAUAGCAUCCUCACCAUUCGUAAUGACUCCAUAAAAUCUUUGUUCGUCUUCUCGCUCUCUCUUUUCUAGCGGAAGAGAAACAUCAACUACAUCAACCCUGUCUGACUGCUUCAGCUUUCGUCUCCUCUUCUCUCAUGUAACUCCACCAAAUCCACUCUUUCUAGGGCUCGAUUGCCCUGCCUCUCAGUUAUGAACCUUCUUCCUCUUUUCUUGAACACACCUCUUUUGAUCGGCGGCGGAGAAGGCUAAGUCUGCAGCAGAAAUGUAUGUCUCCGAUCUCAGAAGCACCACGCCGUCGCUAGAGACUGUUAACAACCUCCGUAAUAGUCUUAGACAGAGACUCCUCCAGACUCCAGCUCUUCGAUAAAGAUGGCCAAGUACUCGAUGGCGCAGGGUCGUUCUCCAGUGAAUUUCAGAGCGGAUCUGGUUUGUCGUCACGCCAGAAAGGUGAGCGAGAAGUUCCAUCUUAUUGGUUACAUAUAUUCUUAUGCCAAGUGUAUCUUUUUAUUCCUCCAAGUAUGCAUAUUUAUGGAGUUUUGUAGCUUUUCAUUAAGUGGUUAGUGUAACCAAUCUGUAAAGCUUCAUUCUUGGAGGAGUUUAAGUCUGAACGUUCUAUAAAAUUUGAAUAACAGGCCCGGCUACAACUUUCUAAUGUCCCGGUGCAAAAAAAAAAAAUUCCAGUAAUUGUUAAAAAAGGAUUUGGAUGCCUUGACAAGCCAUUCAUAGCUUCAAUCAAGACGGUAAUGAGACGAAGGCAUACUGAUAUUGAAUUAAAGUGGAUAAAAAAGUUAGAAAAGGCUCUGGAGACAAGUGGAAAUCAUUUUUCAGAUGUUGCACAUUCUCUCAAUACUUGCCCAUAAUUGUGUUAUUACCUCAGUUGUCAUGAUCUUAAAUUAAGUCUAAUA